RNAcentral lists this ribosomal RNA (492 nucleotides) under uncultured bacterium. Its description in RNAcentral is "partial 16S ribosomal RNA". It matches the Rfam family "Bacterial small subunit ribosomal RNA", at positions 29 to 507 of the family's 1533-position model. The record is from RNAcentral.
AGUGAACGCUGGCGGUAGGCCUAACACAUGCAAGUCGAACGGCAGCACAGUAGGAGCUUGCUCUUACGGGUGGCGAGUGGCGGACGGGUGAGGAAUACAUCGGAAUCUACUUUUUCGUGGGGGAUAACGUAGGGAAACUUACGCUAAUACCGCAUACGACCUACGGGUGAAAGCAGGGGAUCUUCGGACCUUGCGCGAUUGAAUGAGCCGAUGUCGGAUUAGCUAGUUGGCGGGGUAAAGGCCCAGCAAGGCGACGAUCCGUAGCUGGUCUGAGAGGAUGAUCAGCCACACUGGAACUGAGACACGGUCCAGACUCCUACGGGAGGCAGCAGUGGGGAAUAUUGGACAAUGGGCGCAAGCCUGAUCCAGCCAUACCGCGUGAGUGAAGAAGGCCUUCGGGUUGUAAAGCCCUUUUGUUGGGAAAGAAAAGCAGCAGGUUAAUACCCCGCUGUUCUGACGGUACCCAAAGAAUAAGCACCGGCUAACUUCGUG